GCGGCCCCGCUCCCCCUUCGCCCUAGAAACUCCUGUGGCGGCAGGCGAGCGAGCAGAGAGAGAUGAGCGCCCCUGCUACCCCAGUCCCGCCUCCCCUCCCAGCCUCUUACUCUGCCUCCAUCUGCCGUCUGGGGAUUUAGGAUUCCAGCGUGCAGGGGCGCAUCGGUGAUUCUUUGGCGCGCGGCUGCGACGGAAAUGGACUCGCCGGGUGUCCAUGGCGGAUGCGGCGGCGACAGCGCGGGAGACCUAUGUGGCCUGCCUGCAGAGCGACGGCUCUAUGAGAGAGAGUCGGAGAAUUUGGAAGGAGAGAUGGAUCCAAGCACUCUACGCAAUGAUGGGAUGAUUGCUCUUUCAACAUAUUCUAUUAGCGAGGAUGGCAAGUGAAAGUGGGAGCGACUGGAUCACUAUUGCUAUCAUGCAUUGUAGACAUGAUGCAUUGGACAUAUGUCUGACAAAUUGUCCUUGGUAAGUAGUUGCUACUUGCUAUUGCACCUUAGUAAAAUAGUUUUUUUUGCCCAAACAGUACUGCCCAAUUGCUUGAAUUUUAGUUCUUUUAUUGAAAUCCUACAUGUGGAAGCUCUCACUUAUAGUUGGGCACAUGAUCGGGAAGGUUUUUUUUAUGGCUGAUCUGGGUAGGUCUACAAACUUAUAGCUAUCCUUGAACAUAUCUUAUGGUUAAAUCCAAGAGAAGAAACUUGAUUGUUUUGAUGUCCAUGUAAAAUACCAGGAAACAAAAGAUACGAGUUAAUAUAUUUGGGGUGUAUGCUCCAGAAAAUUCUCAAUGUAACACAGAUGGCAUCUUCACAGGGGAUGCACAUGUGUGAAUAGCCUUGAACUGCUAUGCUGGAAUAUUUACUUAAGAGUCCAAAGAUGUGAUCCGUGGAAGUUUCCAGAUUCCAAUCAUGCUACACAUCAUGGGGCAAUAUUGUAAUGUCAAAGUGAAAAGUUUUGUGCAUGGUUAAUGUAUUCAGUGCCUUACUGCCAAUAAGAUUUAACGCAAACCUUACUUUAUUAUGCAUAAUGGAUCUGCUUCAUUAGAAAGUACUGGAAUUGUAUUUAUUUAUUUACUACAUGUUGCAACGCAGGGGCUCUUUUGCUAGUAUAUCUAAAAAGUGGAAGCGAAAAGAAAGCAGCAAAAUGAUGAGGAAAUUCUAAUUAUCUUGCUGUGGUGUGCUGCUCUCUUUUGGCACUCAUUUUAUAUCACUACAACUGUUCAAACAACAUGGAUGGUCGGUAAGGACGUCGUGGAUGCUGUAAGUUUGCUUGUCCUUGCUUUCCCAUUUAGUAUGUAUAUCACUUUAUCAAUUAAGAAAGGCAUUUUAGACCCUCACGAUAAGAAGUCGUCUCAAGAAGAGUGACACCAGAAUAACCAUAGCGGUCAAUAAGCGGAAGCGGGCGAGCGCGAAAGCCAUAGUAGGUUGAGCUGGGGGCGGUGCAUUGCCAACAGAAGGAGGCAUGGUAGUCGAGGGAGAUGGCACGUUAGAAGAAUCUACAACACGUGGACCACCAAUGUGGUAAAGAAGAGGGGAGGGGGAGGGAGGGGGAAGGUGUAUCGCUGGAGAAGCCUCAGAGGACGAGCGAGGUGAGGCAGUCUCAGGUAAUGAAUGAGGUGGGGAAGCCGUAGGUGACGACGACAGGGGGUUUACUAUAGUAGUACGCGAAGACACGGUGGGAUGGGUGGAAGAGGACAAAACAUGAUUGAUAGGUGUGUCGGGAAAAGUAAGGAAAGAAAUAUCCUUAAUAGGAGGAUGGACGUGGAUAGAAAGGAUGAAACUCAUCAAAAGUCACAUCCCGAGAAAUGUGCAUCCGCCGAACGAUUUGAUCCCAACACUGAUGUGCUCAUCACUUCAACCUAAGAACACACAUUCAAUAGAUUGAGGAGUCUGUUUGGUGUGUCGGGUGGGAGAGGGGGGCAAGAAGAACAUAGCAACCGUAAUGAAACAAACGAAGUGCUGAACAAUCACGAGAACGACCAAAAAGACGCUUGAGAGAAAUUACACCCUGCAGAGGGCUGAAUCUUGAUGAGAUAGGUGGAAGUAGGGGAACGUCAACCCAUAAGUAACGCAGAAGAGAGCCGAUGAUCAUCAACGCAUGAACCGCCUCAAGGUGACGAUACUUGUGCUCAUCAACACCAUUCUGAGCAUGUGCACGUGGACAAGAGAACUAAGCAAGUGUGCCCUACUCAGCAAAGAAUCCACACAGCAAAUGAGAGAUAUACUCACGAGCAGAAUCUGCACGGAAGACAUGGGCAGGGGUGGAAAACCAAGUAUGAACCAUGACGACAAACUUCUUAGGGCCAGUGCUUUUGCUGCCCCCUACCCAGCUCUAUAGGCUUCUAAAAAAUAAAUUUGGUUGGGUUUCUAGAAUAAGCUAGGUAGGGCGUAGCUUAUUCCAGCUAAUUCUAGAAGCCACCAAAAGAACUGUGUGUCCAGAGAAAUGAUCUAUGGAUAUAUAGUAGUGAUGGCCUCCUUUCGAGGCAAAGGGAGCUGGACCCCAAACAUCAGAGUGAACAAGAUCAAAAGGAUGUUGAGACACUGUCUCGCUAUGAGGAUGAAGUAAUUGAACUUGUUUACCAAGCCGACAAACGUGAUAGUCUAAAAACACAAUGCUAAAGACAGAUCCAAGAAGACCAUGUCGAACUAGGGAUGAGGGAUGAGAGCCACGCAAGUGACCGAGACGAUGAUGCCACAAAGAACCGGUAGUCAAGGUAAAAGGGGUGAAGAGUUGAUGGUGGUGGCCGAGGGAAGGUGAAGCCUGUCAAGCUCCUGGAGGCCCUAGGAGUUACAAUGCUGAGGGCAAGCACCAAGUAGAGCACUCCUGUGAUGGUCUUAAUCCGAACAAGAGUCAAAGUCGAGAAUGACUACAACCAGAGUCAACAAUCUGAUCACUUGAAAUGAGCUACAUGGUAAGUCAAGAAACUUGAGCAAAAGGAGCAUAAAAAGAAAAAGUGCUAAGAUUGUCUCGAUGAUCGAUUGGGAGGGAAGUACCAUCAGCAGUAAGAACAUGAAUAGGAGAAUCUAGAGGUUUGAAUGGAGGACAAACUAGAAGAAUCAUGAGUCAUGUGAAAAGACGCUACACUAUCAAGGAUCCAUGGAAAAUUUAGCUGACUGACUUCGUAAAAAGUGGUUUCAAUAGUGAAAGAAUCAACAACAAAACUGUUGAUGGAAAACUAAAAGAAGCAUCUAGCAGACACUGAAGUCUCGUAAUCCCCAGCGUAGUCAGGGGUUCAACUGAAGCAAUAGGUAGGUGUCGAAGUCGUGCAAUCUCAUGCGUGGUGAAGGACACCGUUGAAGUGGCCGAAGUCGAAUCACCGGAAGAGAAGUGUCCACCACCACCCGUGUAAGCCACUAGAGGAGGCGGUGUAGCACGACAAGCACCAAGCGCGAAGGGAAGGUGCAUGUGCGAUGAGGCGCGAGGCGCUGACCUUUUGUACAUGGCGAUGAGGCGCGACCUCCUGAAGAUGUAGGAUAGAUAGCCUACGGUGCGAGCACGAUGGAGGUGGCCACAAGGGGCGAGCCUAAUGGAGGCGGAGGUACGGAGAUCGAAGGGCAUGAUGGGAGGGGCGACGUGUGGGAAUUUAUUGGGGCAUGAGAGGCCUGGACAAGGGGGGUGAUCCUGAUCUGGAGGCGGCGGAGCGAUGACGAUAGUCGUCGGGAUAGACACCGACGCGGGUCGGGGAGGUGUGGUUGCACAUGAGCGUACUAGCCUGAGAAAAGUUGAUUAAAAACUUAGAUCGGGAUCGAUUUGGAGAGGAACGCGAGUUGUGUGUGAGGAAGAAAACGUAGGCUCUAAUACCAUGUUAGGAAUAUGCAACUUGUAUUCCCAGGUGGACAUAGACUAUUGAAGUACAUGUUUGCUGCAAUAUGCAGAAAGCCCCUUGUAUAUUACUCCAACAUGUUGAACACUGGCAUUGUGUUCCUUCCAAAUGGUCUAGAAUGCGAGCAACACUGCUGACUUGAGUUCGUAGUGCACCGAAGGUGGCAUUGUCGCUUGACGGCUAAUCCACCAGUUGGAAGGGGAAACGCCGCCCCCUGGGGGCAUUGGUGAUGCUGAAGAGGCAAACACCAAUUCUAGAUUGCUGUCGAGGAGUAGCUGGUGCACAGGUGUUGAGAAGUCUUUGGGGCAUUGAAGCAGAUGGUGUAGGCGACGUGGAUGUCCAUACCGUGGCGAUGACGACGGUAAGUAGACCAUAAACAGUACUCCAGAUAUGUGCCAAUCGCGUGGCUGCAACCGCAAUCUGAAGCCGAGCUUCAUCAUCGUGUCAUUGUCUUCAUAGAUUGUCGAUCGUUGAUGACCCAAGCGUUGUGUUCCUUCUAGAUGGUCUAAACUGUGAGCAACAAUGCUGGCUUGAGAUCCCGACGCACCAAAGAUGGAGUGGUUGCCUAACAACCAAUCCACUAUUCGAAAAGGGAAAUGUCGGCCCCUGGUUGGGAGGGCAACAGUGACACCAAAGAGGCGAGUAAUGAUUGCUAGAUUGCUGCCGAGGAGCAGCUGAUGAACAUGUGUUUGGCAGUGUCAGGGGCACUAGAGUAGAGGGGACAUGCGACAUGGUUGACCAGACCAUGCUAACGAUGACGGUCGAUGGACCACAAACGUUUGUGGGGGGUGAGCCACAUGUGGAUCUUGCAUUUGAUGGAUGCCCACGCUUUCCACAAUACUUUGUUGUGUGGGACGAGCUGAAGCCCAUGAACAACACACGAUACUCGAAGUACUUGGACGAUGUGUGUUUGCUUCCAAAGCGGGUGAUCUUCCUCCUCCUUGAGUACCAAGAUUGAUUGGAGAGCCCACGUGCGAGGCUCGUUGGGCGGUGCUGAUUAAGGUUAAGGCUCCCUUCAGUCGUCCUGCUUUUUACACCGCCAUGCAGGUGGCUUGGGCAAUGCAAAGACGUCAAAUUCAGACCACUUAUUAUUACCCUUUUACGACGAAGUUUAAGUGUUUUGGGGAUUGGAAUCACAACCAUGCAUAGGGGUCCUUGGCUCUUUAGGCACCAUGCUAUGGUAAUUGAGGAGUAUACUGGAAUAUGUCGCCCUUAUAACUCCGCACGUGUUUGGGCUCGAAUCAUGGGUCGAUCGGACUUGCUGCACAACAGAGUAGUGGCUAAAGCAAUGGCUUCCAAGACGAGAGAAGCUUGAGCUAAAUGGCGUUGAAUAUGAAAGUUUGUUGGAGUGCACGUCAAGAUCAAAUUGGAGAAGCCCCUUUGAGGUUCUUAGGGAAUGUUGAGCUAGGUAAACUGCCCCAAUGUUUCAUGUGCUAUAUGAGAAGAUGUCGCAUUUUUGCGCAAAUUACGAUAAGAUUGGUGAUGUUACAGAACAAUGCAGGGAUGGGGUUCAUGAUCCAAAGAAGUUUCAAUUUAGCGAUUUUAUGAUGGUUCCAACCUAGAAAUGAGUUCAUUGCUCAACCUCGUGGUAGCACUACUUGUGGAAGAGGUGGCUGGGCAGUAGAGGCCAAGGUGGUCGUGGAGGGUAAGUUGGGCAUGACUCGACCCGAUGUAUAAGGAGAAAGAUUAUUUUCACCCUGAAAAUGGAAAUACCGGUACAUGCAAUGUCAAUGCAAACGGAGUGAUUGCAGACAACCGUGUGUCGGCCAAGGACGCUCCCUUGGCGCCAGGGGGAAGGAAAGUGCCAGGUCUUAUAAAAUACCAUGAGGGGAAAACUGGGGCGAGCAACUGAACUCAGGGCAGCUCUUUGCAAGUUCAAGCGAAUAAAUGGUAGAGGAUGGCGGGUGUGCUGUCCUGAUAGUGUUUUCAUCGCUUCCUUGUACCUCCCUUACACUCUUCGUUUCCCGCUAAUCUGGCUUGUCAUCCUUGCCUUGUUUGCUGGUUGUGUGACACGUACUUGAUUCCGCAUUCCACGUUCCCUUGUUGGGCGUCCCUGGCCUUGGCGACAGGUAGUGGCGUGCUCUUGGGCACUCUGCGUCCUCGCGUAAGACGGAGACAGUGCCGACUGCCCGUGCUCUUGCUCCACCGUUGGUGGUGCUUGAGCUAGCGGCUAUGGCGACAACCUGCAAGGGAGCACGGUAUGUAGGAACAAGGCAGCGCACAAAACAACUCGUAGACAGGAAAAGGAUGCCCAAUUGGACUAGCAGGCAGUGGAGAGUACAUGGGAGGUGUGGGGGAAGGGUGAAAAAGCUGUUGGGAGCGGACUGCCUCCGCCGUCAGCCGCCUUGUUGGACCCAGAGCUGAGGGGCCAGGGGAUGACGAUAGGGGAAGCGAGGAAGAGGGAAGACAUAAGAGGGUUCCGGGAGGAGAGAGGCAUCGUCCACCACCCUACGCGUGUGCGUCAGCUGUGGCAAUGGGUAGAUCCGGUGUCUACAUGUGAAUCUACUACUCGGGAUGGCAUGACGUGGUUGUUGUGGAGUGAGGCGCCAGAACUAUUGUGCCGAGUGGGUUUGUUUGGUUGUCGGUGUUGUCGGCAGUAGGGCAUUCCUGCUGUGUGGCUCGCGUGCAAGUGAAUUCAUUGGAGCGGCAAUACUGGAUUUGGGGGAGUGUGUUCAGUGCAAUUGUCGAAUGUGCUGUGCUGUAGAUGAGGCUAUGAUGCUUGUGUAGUUUUUGUGCUACUUUUCCUUCUAAAUUGGCCUGCUUCGUUUGGGUUUUGAUCCAAUUUCCCUUAUAAAAUGAAGCACCAAAAUCCUCAAGCUCAUGGUGGAUCAACAACACUGAGUUUGGAGAGAUAGAAGUUGUGUGGUGCUCUAGUUCGAGCCUUCGUUAAGAAAUCGGUGAACUAUAAAUCGGAAGGCACAUAUUGAAGAGCAAUAAUUUGAUCUUGCACACUGGAGCACACGAAGGAAGCAUCAACACAAAUAUGCUUGGUGAGCUCAUGUUUCAAAAGGCCGCACGCGAUACUGAUAGCACUUAUACUAUCUGAUAAGAGAGUAGUAGGUGUAGUCAUUGAAACACAAAAUCCUCAAGCAGCCAUCAACGCCAAGUCACUUCUACUGUCAAAAUAGCCGUGGCUCGCAACUUAGCCUCUACACUCGAACAAGAAAGUGUAGCAUGUUUCUUCGUCUUCUAGACAAUGAGAAACCACCAAGAAAAACAUUAAGCGGAAAGGGGUGACGAAUUUGAGCGUGGGAAGAAGAGACAGCGAGAGAGUCUUCAUGAAGAUCCAGGCAAUGAGAAAACCACGAAAGACAUAGUAAGCAGAAAGGGGUCAAUGAACUUGAGCAUGGGAAGAAGAGACGGUGAGAGUCCCAUGAAGAUAUCGUAGAACACAUAUGUGGUGACUAUAGUGGAUCAAAGUGGGAGUAGAGACAAACUAACUAGAUGUGGUGACUGUGAACGGGAUAUGAAAUGUGCGGAUGAGUGAUCUAAAUAUACAAGAUUCCCAACAAGAUGACGGUAGGUGGGGCUAGGAGGGGAGGUUGCCGGUACUGUCGACGAAGUUCUGAGGAGGUGGCGCAUGACUUGGUGUUCAAAAUGGUUUCCCUCAUAGUCACAGACUUUAGACUAGGGCUUUUUACAGUGUGAAUGUGAUCGUGCUAGAGGUCUACCAUCUCUUGGAAUGAUGUUGGUUCGAAGACUAACUUAAGAGCCCUGGAGUUGAUCGUGCUGGAAUUGGUCUUCGAGACCGGUCGAAGAUUGCAUGUCAGGAGUGCCACUUGCUCUCAUUCUAGAAGAAAGAGUCAUCUCGUCACGCAUUCAUAUGGGCUUCUUCUUUGACGCACCUUGGCGUCUAUUCUUCAUAAAUUUGUGGUAUCCUUCAAUUUUGUUCCUCCCGGGCUAGCAAAUCCGAUGUCUAAGCGCCAACGAAGUUGUCAUCUUGAUGAGGCUGGUAAUUGAACCUGCUUUGCAGUUGCUUUGCCUGCUAUUUGCCACCAGUUCUUCAACUUUCUCCGUGCCGCUCACACUGGCGUGCCUCAACUCCCCCACAAUUUUCACCUCCUUUUCCUUGCUAUUACCAAAGUUAGAUGGAUGAAGUGGCGUCAAGCUUCUGACAUUCUCUGUGACAAGAGGGUGCCACAAAAGCAAAAAAAGGCAAGUUCUACAGGACGGCGGUUCGACCCGCAAUGUUGUAUGGCGCUGAGUGUUGGCCGACUAAAAGGCGACAUGUUCAAUAGUUAGGUGUGGCGGAGAUGCGUAUGUUGAGAUGGAUGUAUGGCCACACGAGGAAGGAUCGAGUCCGGAAUGAUAAUAUACGGGAUAAAGUUGGGGUAGCACCAAUUAAAGAGAAGCUUGUUCAACAUCGUCUAUGAUGGUUUGGGCAUAUUCAGCGCAGGCCUGUGGAAGCUCCAGUGCAUAGCGGGCGGCUAAAGCGUGCGGAGAAUGCCAAGAGAGGUCGGGGUAGACCGAAUUUGACAUGGGAGGAGUCCGUUAAGAGAGACUUGAAGGAUUGGAGUAUCACCAAAGAACUAGUUAUGGACGGGUGCGUGGAAGCUUGCUAUCCAUGUGCCAGAGCCAUGAGUUGGUCACGAGAUCUUAUGGGUUUCACCUCUAGCCUACCCCAACUUGUUUGGGACUAAAGGCUUUGUUGUUGUUGUUGUUCCUUGCUGUUACCUCCAUUUAUUUUUCACCCUGCCCCAGUUUACCGGUUUUAUGUUAAUCUCUCUCAUUCCCGAUUUUUCUUCUUGGCUUAUGUAUGCUUUCACUUUCCUCCCUCCCCUACAACUCCAGUUUUGAGAUUUUGCUCAACAACUUCCUUCUGAUCACUAAUCUCUGGUUUUGGUCAGAAUUUGUUGAUUGUAUGUGCCCUUUUGUUCUGCUAUGAGAAUUGAAUUUGUAUGCUCGGUUCUAUUGUGUUAUGCAAGGUGCUUCUAUCAAGUUAAAUGGAUGCACUGAUAUGUUGGUGCUUCCACAAUGUAGAUUUAGACAAUGUAGAAGUUAUUCACAUGUUCUUUCCAGCUGUAUCUGCAUAGGUAGCCAUCUUGUAGAAUUUGGUUAUGCAUUCCACUCUUGUUCUUUUCCGAACAUAAUUCAUAUAUAGAAAACCAAUAUUGUCAGCUACGUACCCUGAAUAAUCCCCUAUGCUCUUAGAAUUAUUUCUUAUCUUUGUGAUUUAUUAGGUAACAUAAUUCUAGGACAUAUGAUUGUUAUUGAACCUUAGGUCAAUUAAGUUCGUGGCCACCACCUUUGGUUUCCUCUGUUUGAUGCCUGAAAGCAGAUGGGGCAUCAAUUCUCCAUUUCCUGAAUACAAAACAUUAAGAAACAGACUGGAGUGAGGGACAAGGAACAGACACUUGAUGUGCGUGCUGGGAAGGCAAUUACAAAGGAAUUAAUGGUCUGCUGUCCUCCUUAGUCCUUUGAAUGAUGAUUCAUUUUCUUUGGCAUGCAAUAACAUGACUAAUGCCGACACAUCUCCAUUGUGGGUUUUAUAUUUUCACUAACCAUGUCAAGUUUCCCCCUCAUUGGAGUAACUACUUAAAGAAUCUGUUAACCGGUUCAUGGUUUCUGUAGCAAGAAAGAAGACGAAUCUUGAUUUCUUUAUGAAGGGGUGGAAGGUAUAUUUCUGUAUUUAAGAGUUUACUUAUUGAUACAGUUUAUCAAUAGGAUCUAUUGACAGUCUGUUAUGAAUGCCUUUGGUGCUAACUAUUUAUGGGUAAAGAACUAUUACUUAUGAUGCAAGUACCAUAACUUAUUCCCAUCGUAGGAUAUGUUUAAACAUCUUGAGCGAAUACUCCAUACAUGUUGAAGCUUGAAGCCUCUUGUUUGCCACGUUGUUUAGGUAUCAAGAGCCUUUUCUUUUGAAGGCAUUGGAUUUUAUGUAUUUUCUUUAUUCUGGAUUUUAUGUAUGUCUGUUGUGAUGUUAGAUACAGAUUGAUUCAAAAGGCUUCAGCUGCGGAUUUGUUGGUGUAGUUUAUUUUAGCUGGGGUGACCAGUUGGUUUGCAGACAACGAUGGUUUGGCCCUGUAUCCCGUUCUUUAUAUGAAGUGCUACUUUGCUUUUCUGGUUUGGAAACUUGAUUCUUCUAAUUCAAGGAUUCCGCUGAUGGUUGAGCAAGUAGGUGGGAACGUCGCAUGGUGUGCGCUGUCAUCUCGGCUGUGCUGUUCCAGGACGAGAUGUCGAGGCCCAGAGCUGCUGCCACCGUUGUUGCCCUGGUGGCGACAUUCAUCCAGCGCCGAUGCGUGAUAAACUGUCCAGAACCUCACUAGACGCUGAAAUGGAUUAGAUAGAUUUGUUGCUUCCAUCCAGAAUAGUUACUUUGUGUGGACUGCGUCUGGGCCUCUUUUGGUCAAAUGCCUGCAGUAUAGUUAUCCUGUCACACUGUAUGGAAGAGCGCAGCUGGCAAAGGGAGAAGACCCAGGACAAUACAGUAAGAUUUACAGUAUGUUAUUAUGUUGUGUUCAGUGACACCGUGGAGUAACACAGCGCAACUGUAUCGUUUUCUAUUUUUUCUAUUUUUGCAAAUCUCACAUUGGUCUGUAAGAAUAAUAGCAUGAAUUAGUAUACUAUUUUGGGACGUGCUUGCUACAAUGUCGGAACUGAGCGAUGCCGCAUGCCUAGGUAUGGGCCGAGUGAGUAGGAGUGUAGGACAUGCCACUAUUUUCUCUGUAGCAACUGUUGCUUACCCCCUGCUUUUCUGUUCCUGUGUGAU
Triticum aestivum (bread wheat) is the source of this 10526-nucleotide long non-coding RNA. RefSeq lists it as uncharacterized. Lineage: Eukaryota; Viridiplantae; Streptophyta; Magnoliopsida; Poales; Poaceae. The record is from RefSeq and is a predicted model, not a curated record. The transcript has 3 exons.